UGAGCACUUCAAUGCCUUGCUUACUUCACAGAAAUUCCUUGUCUCAUGAGAUGUCUUCUGGAGAAAGUUCAGAGGCUUCUAAUUGCAAAGUGCAACCUGCUGACGUACUGCCUUGUGCCUAGCUCAGGCUUCUGUUUGCUGGAGAGAUUCUUCUUUCUGCAUUGACGCCUUCUUCUGUGUUGUUCUUCACACUAUUACUUCUGACUCAUAGACUAAAUGUCUAUGAGAACCUGGUAAGUGCUUGUCAGUUGUAGCUUUAUGUGAUAUGACCU
This 272-nucleotide long non-coding RNA is filed under the name Struthio camelus australis. RNAcentral describes it as "lncRNA (ENSSCUG00000018268.1)". The record is from RNAcentral. Lineage: Eukaryota; Metazoa; Chordata; Aves; Struthioniformes; Struthionidae.